AUUUGAUGGCGAGAUAAAAUAGGUAUAUAACGAGCUGAAGAUUUGACCUUUCACAGAGACUAGUGUGGAAGUCGAGUUGCAUUGAGCUUGAAAAAUCUAACAAUUCACAAAAUUUUCAACAUGGACGCCAAGAAAAUCAUCAUUUUUGCUGUCAUUUCCUGCGUACUGCUAUCAGUAUGCAUUGACCAAACAUCUGCCCAAGGGGGGCUCCGGUGGGGACGAGAAUAUGAAGCAAUGAAUCAAAAGGAAGCUCCUCCAGUGGAAUGGCCCGACAUGAAGAGAAACUUCCUGAAAAAGAGAGCUUUCAAGUCCGAUGAACGAGCAUAGAAUGGGUUACAGCACCUAAUGUCCACAAGACGUUAUCGAACCAAAUUCAUAAAAAUGUCAAUAAUUCGUAGCUCAAUAAACAAACCAACACUGAAGUGUAUAUUAUUUUCUAGUGUAAGUGUGCAGAGAAAAUAAAAUUCUUGCCCUUGAAUCA
RNAcentral lists this long non-coding RNA (481 nucleotides) under Actinia tenebrosa (Australian red waratah sea anemone). RNAcentral's name for it is "uncharacterized LOC116292795, transcript variant X2". The record is from RNAcentral. Lineage: Eukaryota; Metazoa; Cnidaria; Anthozoa; Actiniaria; Actiniidae.